AAGUUGGGUUGGCGGGUCAUCCUGAAUAUGCUUACAUGCUUAUUUAGACUUGCGCUGUAAGCAGGUUCAGGACGUAGUCUCAUUCUGUUUGUGCUUAUGCACCACAAAGGUCACAACUUCAAUCUCGCGCGAUUCUUAUGUCUGUGCACUGCACCUCUCACAAUCUGUGCAAAAACUCAAAUGCCAAAUCAGCUGGAUGCACAGUGUGACAUGUAACUGCACUGAUGUCGCAAGGACGAAGGCAAUGUAUGAUGCAUGUCCAGUGAAAAAUGGUGAUGACAGGUGUGUGCACAGAGAUGCACAACACACAUCUAGCCUCCUUUAAGGAUUCUGUACCUUUGGUGUCACAGUGGCACAUACCCAUUCUUAUGGAUUAGCCAAGAAUAGGCACACACCCUCAGGUGCAUACUGAAUGGCUAGCUAAAAUAAAAUCAAGUAAAUCAAAGGAUCCCAUUGAAUAAUGCAAUUAUUACAUUAAGGGGUCGGUUUGUUUGAGAUGCCUCUGAAAUGACAUUAUAUGUUCAGUUUUUUAUGUAGGAAUUCACUUUUCUAUUGUGCAGAACAGAGGUUACAGGCACCACUUUGUCGGUGCCAAUCAGCGUACAGGGCUUGUGUACGCUUGUUUGCUGGUACUUGCAUUCAGCACACAUAUAACCUUCACGUACCAUGUGUCCCACGUAAAAAGGUGUAAGCAACUCGUCAUGCGGCACUUUUUUCCCGUUUUCUUACUCGCAGUAUUACCCGCCGUGGUUGCUCAGUGGCUAUGGUGUUCGGCUGCUGAGCACAAGGUCGCAGGAUCGAAUCCCGGCCACGGCGGCCUCAUUUCGAUGGGGGCGAAAUGCGAAAACUCCCGUGUACUUUGCGCUUACUUGGUGAACGUUAAAGAACCCCAGGUGGUCAAAAUUUCCGGAGUCCCCCGCUAUGGCGUGCCUCAUAAUCAGAAAGUGGUUUUGGCGUGUAAAACCCCAUAAUUUAAUAUUUUUUUUUUACUCAUGGUAUUAAGUACAACACGAUGGGACGCUGAACUUAAGCGUAAUGUCCCUGAUGUCUACACUUGUUAGAUAAGGGACAAAGGAUAUGCAAACCCAUUGCUGCAGUAUGUGAAUCAUGCAAGCUGCAUGCAUCGGUCUUAUGUCCUUUUUAAAACAAAGCUUUCUUUGCCUCUUCCUUCGACUUUCCCACUACUGCUGCUGCUGUCUGGCACACUGCGUCGGGAGGUGGUUCAGAGCGUGUGCAUACAUUAGGAGUGCUGCAGAGAGGAAAGGCGACGUGAGAAACUCGUUUGGACCUUUGCACCAUGUCGAAUGUGCACAAUCCCCUCUGAAGCUCCCUGGCCAUUGCCACAUUAGCGUCUUGACAGCUGUAAUUAGCCAUGACUCCCGCGAAGGCAUUGCAGAAAUUGCAGUGCUUACCUUCCUCCUAACGUGCGAGUCCAGAGAGAAGCUAGAUAGAAUAAUAGGGAGGGGGGGUGAGAGGAGCCAGAGAAUGGGUAGAAGCAACGCAGUCACAUAAACGAGUGAAUAACACCUUGCCACUCUUCGCUCGCAGUUCCCACACAAGUGGUGAGAGGGGGGAUAGGGAAAAGGUGAUGUAGAAGGCAAGAAAACGCUACUACUAGACACAACGGUGGUUGCGAGAAAAUGGGAUAAAUUUAAUUUCGAGGCUCGGUACAGUGCAUUCCUGCUAUUUCUGAAAAAUAAACACUGUGUAAAUACAUCGAGCGGACAACUUACGCAGGGCAUGCAGAAGCAAAGCUGCAUUAAAGUGCACCGUAGGGUCUAGACAACAAUACAGAAGUGGUUGCACAUCAAAUCAACACUUCUGUGCCCACCACGGUAGCUUUGUGGCUAUGGCAUUGCUCCAGGUUGCGAGUUUGAUCCCGAUCGUUGCAGCCGCAUUUCAACGGGAGCAGAAAAAAAGAAAUGUGUGUGCACUUAGAUUUAGGGAUACGUUAAAGAGCACUACGGUGUCAAAAUUAUUCCAAAGUCCACCAUUACGGUGUGCCUCAUAAUCUGACUGUGGUUUUGCCACGCACAGUUCCAUAAUUCAACUAAAGUUUAAUACUUCUGCCACGAUUCAAUGUGCCAUAUGGGGCAAUGACAAUGCUUAACCCUCUCAGAGGUUACUAAAUAUGGCACACAACAAAGCCUCAAGCAAACACAUCUUCCUGUGUGUUCUGUGUACUAAGCAGACAAACAGCAGUGGUGCAUACAAGGUAACGUUUAACGUAAACUCACAACUCUCGUGUUAGACUAAAUGUUUAAGCUUUUGCCGUGAACAUCACUGUUAAUUAUCGUCAAUCGAAUCAAACAGCACAGAAAGCUUCGCGCACAUGGAUUCCUACAGAGCGUGGAAUCCGCAUUAUUUUUUUUAUAUUUAUUUACGUCUGUGCCUCGCAACAAACUCAUCCCCAAACCAACCAUCGGCAUUAAUAGCACUCUGUGCUUUGCUGUUGGAACUAACUUGUGCUACGAUCCUUCCACCUCCUGCACCUCAAUACUCAUGAUCUGUUCUUUUUCUAAGUUUAGGAAAAAGGUGCUGUUGCAGCCGCCCUUUCUGUCCAAAACCGCAACAAACAGCUGGGAAAAUAUGGAGGGGAAAGUUUAUCUGCUUUUUCUGGUAACUCAAACUAUAGUCCAGCAAAGGUGGAGCUAUAUCAGCAGCAGCAGGUCACACAGCCUACAAGCUUUUGUCGGCAUCAGUGCAUCUCACUUUUGUGCAUCUCUCUUCAGAAAAAUGGUUACAGUGUGCGAGGUAGGUUCUCCAUAAGGAGAAAAGCACUCGAAUUUUUCAGCAUGCUACCCAUGCAGAAAUGAUGGCAAGUUGACAUUCAAAAUCGAAAAGAUAAGCUUUGAUGUGAGAGAGAACAGCUGGCAUGUGAGGCGAAAUUUUAAAGCUGCAGAAAAAGAAAAGAAAAACAAUAAGAACAAAAUAUUUGGUGACUAUUCUCCAAAAUGGCCUGUGCAGUUGUCAAAGGAGAAAUUCACUCGCAUAAAACGCAGCCAGCAGGUGUCGCACUCGCAGACGUACAGUGUGACCCACCUUUGAAGCGUACACCCAAUUAAAUAUGGCUACUGACUACCGCUGAAUCAUAGCAUGAAGGCAUGCAGACUACAUUUUAAUGCACAGAUGUCGGUCUCGUGCAUCUUAUCCAUAGGUCGGCAAACAAUGUGAGUAGACUCACUCGGACUCACUCAGGACCGUAUGUUAGUCUGAGUCUGAGUAACCUCGACUUAUUACCACAAGUGAGACAUACCUAUUUAACUAAAGCGCUAAAAAGAGGUAGGACGAGAACAAGAAUGGCUCAGGAUGUGAAGCUAGUGGAAUUCUGGAAUACUAUAGACCUACCAGUGAAACAUUUUUUUCUGACCGACUCGGCCUAGGCAUGCGAGUCUGGGUGAGUGGAGGUCGUCCGUGUAGUAGGUGUAAGUUUGAGUCCAAGUCCCAUUGAACUGGAGAUAGUUUCAGUGAGAUUAGGUACUUUUGAAUGAGGUGUGAUUUCAUGUGUUUUUUUUUACUUCACAGGACUACAUGCAAGAGUGAUUUCAUAUGAUUUCGAGUGAAUCUGUUUGUAACCAGGAGCAGUGCCCAUUGGAAACAGUGAGCUUGAGGAAACACUGGAACGACCCUGCUUAAAUUGAAGCAUAGUAUGCGAAUGACCUGCUACACUCGGAACUGUUAUCACCACUCGGGAAGAAAUCGGGUAAGACGCUUGUCUGGUUGUCACUGCGGAAAAGUCAUAAUUCAUUCUAAGUCGCUUUUGUUCCUUCUCACAGAUGAAAAAACAAAACUGUAAAUACCCAGUACUGUAGGAUAUACGUCUGCUGCAUUAUAGGUAAGAAUGGACUGUGUGUGGCACAUCCCCACAUGUGGACCAGAGUAGAUCUAGGAACAUCGGACAAAAAGACACACACGUGAAGCACUGCAGAUAACCGAUAUUUUGUAUGAGCACUCUAACUAUCCAAGUUACACUCUCGACGGGAACAGAGAAAUGCCGGAUACUGUACCAUUCAGAGCCAAGAACAUGGGCAUGGCCGAAAGAGAGCCUCCCAGGCAGUAUGGGAAACUCUCACAGCAGACCAGCACUGUCUUUCAGCUGUAUCAUACUAUUUCAGUGAACCAAGACUACUUGCAAAUUGUUAACACUGCUGCGAAAAAAUUAAUGUAUUUUAUGGUUACAAAAUAAACACCUAAAAAGAGAAAACAUUGCAUUCACGUGUUUCUUCUGUUGCGUGUUACGUAUUUAUACUAACGAGUACAGAGAAUAAUUAGUGGCAUUUAAUUAUGUUUCACAUGUGAAUUACGUGCAUAUUGCAUAUAUUAAUUGUCAGCAUGAGUUAAACGCCUCUAAUAAACUGUAUAUCGUUGACCUGAAAAGGCAACACGCAGCAAAAAAAGAAAUACCUGAUGUGUUUUUUUAACAUAAUAAAAAAAAAAAAGACACAUCUUCACCCAGCUGAUGGCCAACGGCAAACCGGUGCUUACAAAAUGUUGAGUCGUAGUCGGCUACAGUGGUCGGGCCUAAGUCACUUGCCGGUGGUCGCUACAUGUGAGGCCAGUAUCAAUCCCUGAUGCCGGCCCCCCAUCAGGCGCCGAGGUCGGGCCAACCAUUUUUCAGCUGGCCAGAGACGUCAGACAGAUUUUCUAACGGGGACUUUCUGCUGCUUGAGUAUGUGUCUGCAGAAUUUCAUGAUUCACAGAUGGCAUGGGGAUAUAUGCGGCAGGUUACACAAAAAAGCUAUCGCUGACUCUGACAAUCAUGUUUGAUGGCUUCUGCCACUAUUUUUCCUUUGUUGUUUCUUGGUUGGUGGUUCUCCCUUUUUACUUCUAUUUCUACUGCUUGUUUUUAAAACAUCUGAACCGUUUAUCAUAUGAGUUUUUGUUUUUCUGAAAAACUGGGCACACCUGCAGAUUGACAGUUCCUGCUUACACACAUAGAUCCUUUUCCAUUUCUUGUCAUCCAAACUUUUUGCAGGAACCAACAGCAGUACCCCCCAGUGCUUUCUCUAUCACAGCUGAACAACAAACUCCAUUUUUCUUCCUUUGUUCUUUGAACACUUUGACUUUCCCUACCCUACUCUAUGCACCAGCUUAUUCUUCUCCUCCCCCAUUUAGGAUGAGGGAGAAAGAGAGAGAGAGCUACGUUUGCGUAGAUGCCGCAAAGGAAAGCAGUUGCUGCCCUGGCAAGGACAAGUCCUCUUGUUGAAGCAGUGGCUACAGCGACAUCUUUGUUCAACAACUCUGGCUACAGGAAUGCACUUCGGGACGACUUCGCUGACCUUUACUUUUUAUAUGCUUAGUCUGUAUCCCUCUCUCCUCUGGCUGACUUCCGAUUUUUUUUUUUAAGUUUUCUCUCUCUGUACAGUUGUGUGCAGACUAUUUAAUUAUAUAGUUAUAUCUGCAUGUAAACUACAACCACGGUUACAGUGCAUUCG
Dermacentor andersoni is the source of this 5435-nucleotide long non-coding RNA. RefSeq lists it as uncharacterized. The record is from RefSeq and is a predicted model, not a curated record. Lineage: Eukaryota; Metazoa; Arthropoda; Arachnida; Ixodida; Ixodidae.